This 108-nucleotide non-coding RNA is filed under the name Bacillus gaemokensis. RNAcentral's name for it is "Azaaromatic sequence". It matches the Rfam family "azaaromatic riboswitch aptamer (yjdF RNA)". The record is from RNAcentral. Lineage: Bacteria; Bacillati; Bacillota; Bacilli; Caryophanales; Bacillaceae.
AACUUAGAGUGAAAAAACACAGUUCGGUUGGUAGUCCGGACACAGUAGUCCGAAAAACUAUUGUCAGUAACCUUCCCCCCUGGGAUGUCCAUCACUCAUGUUAUAUAA